RNAcentral lists this ribosomal RNA (363 nucleotides) under Triticum aestivum (bread wheat). Its description in RNAcentral is "partial small subunit ribosomal RNA". Lineage: Eukaryota; Viridiplantae; Streptophyta; Magnoliopsida; Poales; Poaceae. The record is from RNAcentral.
AUGAUCUCGCGCUGCUAUUUCCCUGUCAUGUCACAAAGAUUUGAUCAUCUUCUUGUUUCUUGUUUCCUGAUGAUCUCGCUCUGCUAUUUCCCUGCCAUGUCACAAAGAUUUGAUCAUCUUCUUGUUUCUUGCUUCUUGAUGAUCUCGCUCUGCUAUUUCCCUGUCAUGUCACCAAGAUUUGCUCAUCUUCUUGUUUCUUAUGUCAACUUUGAAGCCCGCGAUCUGCAGACCGUGAUCCUCAAGAUAGCGGUGCCCGUGAUGGCCAUGGUGCUGCUGCUCACGGUGUCGACUGUCUCCAUGACGCCGGAGACUGUGCGUGCGCCUGCCUCCGUGCCUGCUUCUUCCGCAGCGACUACUGUCUGA